AAAUAAUUACUGUUGAUCUUAAAGUAAUUCCUUAUUUUAAGAAGACAAAUGUUAAUCUUAAUACAUGUUUUUCAGAUUUGUCGCACUGAAUAUCAAUUAAUUAAAUCGUGAUAUAAUUUGACAGACAGAAAACCGUUCAAUCUGUCUGCUUUUACUUUGGUGAAAACACAAUUUUCCAAUAACAAAAAUAGAAAGAAAUUCAUUGAAGAAAAACGUAAAUAAAUAAAUGAUAUAAGGAGUGAAAGGGGAUUCAAAUGGUGUAAUUACAUACUUAUAACUGAGGCUACUCAUGUGUUGAUUGUACAGCAUGUUAAAGUUUGUAUAAACUUGCAAGAAAUAUUUGUUUUUAUUUGAAAGGAAUGCUUUGUCAGUUUUGCUAUCCGGUCGUUCGUGGUCGUUUUAUUUUGACAUCCCUACCGGAAGUCCCGCACACGUGGGUUCCGUUAACUUGACACCGGUCUGCGUUGAUAACAGAGGCACCGAUUCCUCUGGAAAUACCGGCCACAUUUGGCAUUUUCCAGCCGGUAAACCGCGUAUAAUGAGACCCAAUAGGAUUUAACGGAGACUAACGGACCCACGGGGCGUGGAGAAGGUAUUUUAAAUCAUGCUAACGCGCCCGCUGCUGACCCUGAACGAGACUGACGACAGGAGGCGUGGCCUGAUGGCUGUGAGCCCGCCCCCUGCUCUCCCAUUGGCUGAUGAGGGUGAUGAAGACACACAAAAGAAAGUGUUCUCUCCUCUCGUUCCUCCAUGGAGCUCCUCCUCCUCCUCCUCCUCACCUUCCUCACCUCCUCCCUGUGCCCUCUUUUUAUCCUUGGCUCCUUCUCUAACUCCUUCUCCCUCCUCCUCCUCUCCUUCAUCUCUCACUUCUCUUCCUUCUCUCUCAUCUACAACUUGUUCCUCUCCUCCUCCCGUGUCCCUCCUUGUGCCUCCUUUAUCUUCUGUCUCUCCUUCUCUUCUUUCCUCCUCUCGUCCUCCUUCUACAUCUUCCUCUCCUCUUGCGCCUCCAUCCCUCCUCCCCCUGACUCCUGUAGCUCCUUUUGUUUUUAAUUUUCCUCCUUUUUAUUCCUCCUCUACUCCCCCUCUUUCUUUUUCUCCUCCUUCCUCCCAUUUGUCUUCUCGUUCUUCAUACCUCCUUCCUUCAGCUUGUCCCUAUCGUUCUCCUCCUUGUUAUCCUGCUCCUCCUCCCCACUCUUCUUCUCAUGUUUCUCCUCCUUCUUCUACUCAUGUUUCUCCUCCUUCUUGCUCUCCUCCAGUUUCUCCUCUUUCUGUCCCUCCAUCCCUUCCUUCCUGUCCUCCUCCUCCUCCCUGCUGCCCUUGCUUCUCCCUCCUGCCCCGCCUCCUCUCAGCUCACCGGCGGGAGGUGCGGCGCCUCCUGCGAGGAGCUCUGUCGUCCCUCGGCCGUCGCCUGGACUCUCUGGAGAGGAGCAGCAGGAUGAAGAGGAGAAGGAGGAAGAGGGGCGGGCAUAAAGGAGAAGGGGGAGGAGCCUGUUCUCCUGGCCCCGCCCCCUCGUGUAGCCCCGCCCACCGUCCCUCUGCUACCACCCCAUCUUCAUCCGACAGCGAGGACUCAACCACACCUCCGCUUUCCUUUAAUUUGAGCCAGUCAGAACAGAAGAGGAGGAGGAGGAGGAGGGAGGAAAAGAAGGAGGAGGAGGAGGGGGGGCGGUUAAGAAAAAGGAGGAAGAACCACAGAGGAAGAGAUGUUACGAUUCAUACAGAAAACAGAGAAGAGGAGGAUGCUGGGAGAUUUGUGGGGCGGAUGGCCGUCUCCUUCAGAAAAGGAGCAGAGGAGGAGGCGCCGCUCACGCUGCACAGAUUCAACCACAGAAAACACAGAAGGACAGGAGGGGAAGGAGCCAGCCAAUCAGAGAAGGCCGUCAGUGUCGUCAGACAGAAUGGAUUCAGCUCCUCUUCCCAUCAUGCAUUGCACCUCCUGCAGACUGCUGCUGGUUGGACCGGCAGCCAAUCAGAAGCACUCAACAUCUCUUCAGGCCAAUGGCGCUUCUCUGACUUCACCUCUCCUCCCUCCCUCUCCUCCAAUCACGGUGCUUUCCACAUAUGGCACCUUUGUUCCUCUUCCUCCUUCUUUAGCUCCGCCCCCAUGCUGCGGCUGUCAGCCGUUGCCGUGGAGACAAUGUCAAAUUCAGUGAGGGGCGGAGCUAUUGGGAGUCCCCUGCGGUGCCUGAAGGACCUGACGGUGCCGCCCAGUCUGAGCAGCGACCACUGGUUGGUUGACUUUACUCCUCAUGAAUAUUCGUGAGGACAUUGGCCCAUUUGUAUUUACAUGUUUUAAUUUGUAACUGAAUAUUUUCACAAUAUAUAUAAAUGUUACUUUAUAAUUCAUAAUCUUAACUUUUAGAAAUAUUUUUAAAUAGAUUAUUUAAUUGUCAUCUUUAUAGUAAUUGACUCUGUCGCCAUCUUGGAUUACGACCUCUGCCACGUUGUUUUUAUCAACCAGUGAACAGGAAGUGACCAUAUCUGGAGUCGCCCCCUGGUGGUCAGGAGAGAGAAUGCAGCUACAACACAUGAAGCAUAGACUUCUAUACAACCAGAGGAGUCGCCCCCUGAUGGUCAGGAGAGAGAAUGCAGCUUUAACACAUGAAGCAUAGACUUCUGUACAACCAGAGGAGUCGCCCCCUGGUGGUCAGGAGAGAGAAUGCAGCUACAACACAUGAAGCAUAGACUUCUAUACAACCAGAGGAGUCGCCCCCUGGUGGUCAGGAGAGAGAAUGCAGCUACAACACAUGAAGCAUAGACUUCUAUACAACCAGAUGAGUCGCCCCCUGGUGGUCAGGAGAGAGAAUGCAGCUUUCACUUCCUCUUCACUCGUUGAAAAAUAAAAGAUGGCGAUGGCUAAGUUGUCGUGAGACGUCACAACUUCGUCUUCUCCACAUUCGACGUAUUCUACUGACAUCACGACAUUCAUGAAUAUAAAAUGUAAACGUUUUGUCUUUGCAGUUACGUGCGAACGCCUACGCCAAGGUAAUUCAACAAAUACAAUACGAUGUUUAUACGAUCUUAGUCUUUGUACUUUAAUGUAUGUCAUUAAAGCUAAUCUGAGGGGAAAAUAUUUAAAAAUAAAAUGUUGUGUUUGUGCCCUAAAGAGAAGAAAUGUUUUCUGUCUUUAAGCCCAACUUUUUCUGCCCGACGACGGCAAAAACAGCGGGCCAAUCACAACACCCGCAGCCUCCUCCUCCCCCCGCGAUGGCCCCUCCCCCUCCCACUCCCACUAUGUUCAGCCAAUGGGCUGUCUGCUGCUCCGCUUGCCAUCGGCCAAUCAGAAGCAACCUCUGAGUUUCUGAGCACAAAUGGAGAGCGCUGUAAACGAGUGUCACAGAUACGAAUCCGCCGGACGUCGC
Pseudoliparis swirei is the source of this 3362-nucleotide RNA transcript. It is a transcript of the gene named NHS-like protein 1, with no coding region annotated. The transcript has 6 exons. The record is from RefSeq and is a predicted model, not a curated record. Lineage: Eukaryota; Metazoa; Chordata; Actinopteri; Perciformes; Liparidae.